This is a non-coding RNA of Camarhynchus parvulus, 261 nucleotides long. RefSeq annotates it as small Cajal body-specific RNA 7. Lineage: Eukaryota; Metazoa; Chordata; Aves; Passeriformes; Thraupidae. The transcript has a single exon. The record is from RefSeq and is a predicted model, not a curated record.
GAGAAGUGAUGACACAGAGACAGUUGGGUGUGUUUGGAUGGGGUGUGUGUGAGCAGGGGGGUGGGGGCUGUGUGAGGUGUGUGGGGGCUCCCCUGGGGGCACUGAUGGCAGUGCUGAGCCAGGAGUGCAUCUGAGGCGUGUUGGGCACCUCGGGGCCCCUCUGCAACACUGCCGGUGAUUAAAGCCCCAAAAAAGCCCACCAGGAGAGCCCCAGGCAGCCCAAGUGUCUCCAGGGUCACCAGAUCCUGUGCUCUGAUCUCA